Molecule: long non-coding RNA, 744 nt
Filed under: Trifolium pratense (red clover)
Lineage: Eukaryota; Viridiplantae; Streptophyta; Magnoliopsida; Fabales; Fabaceae
Description: long non-coding RNA (TPRA_LNC010518)
Source: RNAcentral
CACUAAUUCCACCACCACUACAAUUCAUCGCCGUCAAUCCAAACAAAACCAACACUACCUCCACCAUCUUCAAACUAACACCAUAGCCAAUACUAUCACAAAAUCAAUAAUAAUCACCAUAACCAAUACUAUUAUCACGAAAUCAAUAGAACAACCAUAAACACUUCAUCAUCACCACCAUUCCCAAAUCAUAAACAAAAGACUAAGAGUCUUUAAUUAUCAAAACUUAUAACUCAUUCCAUCAAAAUCAGAAACCAUCAAACAGAACAAGAGAAAAGGAAAAGAAGGGAGGAAGAAUAUUUGCCACCACAAACAGAACACCGCCGCAAAUCCGGCCGCUGCCACCGAAUCCGCCCCAACAUCAUCUCCGGACAACCUCUGCUCCAUUCGGACCUCUACCGUCGGCCUUCCACUGAUCUCUCUCUCUCUCUCUCACCCGAUCUCCUCUCUCUCACGGUGUCUAUCUCUCUCUCUAGUCUUAACUGGAACACUUUAAUACAAACCAGAACACUUUAAAAAAGUGUUACGGUAAAAAAGAGUGAUUCCAAUUUUUUUUGCCACAUCGGAAUAUUUUUGAAAAAGUGUUUCAGUAUAAUUAACAUACCGAAAAAAAAAAUACUUAAACAAUAUUUGAAGAGGAUGUAGUAAAAAAUAAAAAGAAAUAUACUAGAGAAAGAGAAGGAUAUAAUGAGAAUAUUUUGAAAUAUGUUGGAGUAAAGGGAUAAAUGUAGGAGUAGGAAAAAA